Molecule: ribosomal RNA, 253 nt
Filed under: uncultured bacterium
Lineage: Bacteria
Description: partial 16S ribosomal RNA
Rfam family: Bacterial small subunit ribosomal RNA
Source: RNAcentral
UACGAAGGGGGCUAGCGUUGCUCGGAAUCACUGGGCGUAAAGCGCACGUAGGCGGACUCUUAAGUCGGUGGUGAAAUCCUGGAGCUCAACUCCAGAACUGCCUUCGAUACUGGGAGUCUUGAGUCCGGGAGAGGUGAGUGGAACUGCAAGUGUAGAGGUGAAAUUCGUAGAUAUUCGCAAGAACACCAGUGGCGAAGGCGGCUCACUGGCCCGGUACUGACGCUGAGGUGCGAAAGCGUGGGGAGCAAACAGG